AUGUUCUCUGUUGCUCUCCUGCUGAUGGCUGCUGGAUGCUAUGUGAGCAGUGAAACUCUGACUCAGCCAGCAUCUUUAACUGUGCAGCCAGGUCAACGUCUGACCAUCAGAUGUCAGGUCUCUUAUUCACUGAGCAGCUACAACACAGCUUGGAUCAGACAGGCUGCUGGAAAAGGACUGGAAUGGAUUGGAAUGAAACAUACUGGAGGUUCAUACUACAAAGAUUCACUGAAGAACAAGUUCAGUAUUGACUUAGACACUUCCAGUAAAACAGUGACUCUGAAUGGACAGAAUAUGCAGCCUGAAGAAUCUGCUGUGUAUUACUGUGCAAGAGACACAGUGACACAAACAAGCAGCAGAGCUGUACAAAAACCCCUGAAAAGUUAUAACAAACCCCCAGAGGAGGAGCUCUGA
Non-coding RNA from Cyprinodon tularosa, 414 nucleotides. The record is from the annotation of a RefSeq genome assembly. NCBI's taxonomy places the organism in Eukaryota, Metazoa, Chordata, Actinopteri, Cyprinodontiformes, Cyprinodontidae.